CUUCGUCAUGUGAAAAGUACUGCCUACUUCAAAAUCUGUUUUGUUUCUGUUUUUUUCUUUUUCCCAAACUUAGAUCCAGGCUUGUCUGCCUCCCUCAUCCACAUACUCAUUAAAAUCAUCAGAACUAAGGGUGUGAGAAGGAUGGGGCCUCAAGUGUCCAACAGUGAAAAGAUGGUGGUGCACGUCUCAAAAGCAAGACAGGUCAGAUUUCAGACGAAGUAGGGAAAACUGCUGAAGCAACACAGGCAUCCAACACCAGUCCCACCAAGAUUAUGGAGCUGCUUGUAUCUUUC
Molecule: long non-coding RNA, 293 nt
Filed under: Gallus gallus (chicken)
Lineage: Eukaryota; Metazoa; Chordata; Aves; Galliformes; Phasianidae
Description: long non-coding RNA NONGGAT004210
Source: RNAcentral